GUAAGAUUGGGCCCCACAUAUACUGAAACUGGAAUGAAACAGAGAAGAUUAGAUGGCCCUGUGCAAGGAUGACGUGCAAAUUUGUGAAGCAUUCCAUAUUUUU
Molecule: small nuclear RNA, 103 nt
Organism: Ursus americanus (American black bear)
Lineage: Eukaryota; Metazoa; Chordata; Mammalia; Carnivora; Ursidae
Source: Ensembl